RNAcentral lists this transfer RNA (74 nucleotides) under Myotis brandtii (Brandt's bat). It matches the Rfam family "tRNA". From Rfam's summary of the family: Transfer RNA (tRNA) molecules are approximately 80 nucleotides in length. The record is from Rfam by way of RNAcentral. Lineage: Eukaryota; Metazoa; Chordata; Mammalia; Chiroptera; Vespertilionidae.
GGUGGUGUGGCUGAGAAGUUAAGAGUGGCACUUUAGAGUCAGAUUAGACCUGGGUUCAAAUCCUGGUACCACCA